GGAAACAGGUUAAUAUUCCUGUACUUGGUGUUACUGCGAAGGGGGGACGGAGAAGGCUAUGUUAGCCGGGCGACGGUUGUCCCGGUUUAAGCAUGUAGGCGGAACGAUUAGGUAAAUCCGGUCGUUUUUUAACGCUGAGGUGUGAUGACGAGGCACUACGGUGCUGAAGUAACAAAUGCCCUGCUUCCAGGAAAAGCCUCUAAGCAUCAGGUAACAUCAAAUCGUACCCCAAACCGACACAGGUGGUCAGGUA
RNAcentral lists this ribosomal RNA (253 nucleotides) under Enterobacter cloacae. RNAcentral describes it as "partial 23S ribosomal RNA". It matches the Rfam family "Bacterial large subunit ribosomal RNA", at positions 1421 to 1673 of the family's 2925-position model. The record is from RNAcentral. RNAcentral also lists the same sequence under 1 other name. Lineage: Bacteria; Pseudomonadati; Pseudomonadota; Gammaproteobacteria; Enterobacterales; Enterobacteriaceae.